UUAGGAAUAUUGCACAAUGGGCGAAAGCUUGAUGCAGCGACGCCGCGUGGGGGAUGACGUCUUUCGGGAUGUAAACCCCUUUUGUUGGGAAAGAACUAAGACGGUACCCAACGAAUAAGCCCCGGCUAACUACGUGCCAGCAGCCGCGGUAAUACGUGGGGGGCGAGCGUUGUCCGGAAUUACUGGGCGUAAAGAGCGUGUAGGCGGUCUGUCAAGUCGGAUGUGAAAUCUCCAGGGCUCAACCCGGAAACUGCAUUUGAUACUGACGGACUUGAGAGAUGAAGGGGCAAGUGGAAUUCCCGGUGUAGCGGUGAAAUGCAUUGAUAUCGGGAGGAACACCCGUAGCGAAGGCGGCUUGCUGGGCAUCUUCUGACGCUGAGACGCGAAAGCAGGGGGAGCA
RNAcentral lists this ribosomal RNA (400 nucleotides) under uncultured bacterium. RNAcentral describes it as "bacterial SSU rRNA". It matches the Rfam family "Bacterial small subunit ribosomal RNA", at positions 355 to 770 of the family's 1533-position model. The record is from RNAcentral.